AUUGAUGAAGCAGACCGAGAUGGUAAGUCUGCUGUAUGUUGGAUGUAGUUUGCAGAAGUCUUAAUAGUGAUAUGGUUGAAAUUGUGUUCUUCUUGAUGAUAUUAUCUUAUGAAUUUUGUUAAAUUUUCAUUUUUUUGUAUUUAUUGUGGUUUCUUUUGUCUGAUUUCAUCUAUUUAUAAUAUGUUUUUUGCUAAACUUGAUGAUUCUUUUAAAAAAAUAAUAAUUGCCUGUAAACUAGAUUGUAUGCACAUAAGUAUAUAGUUUCCGAAAAUGUAAGUCAGGUGGAAGAUUUUCUCUCUAAUUUUUUGAUACAAGAUGAAUUUUUUAGUAGAAGAGGAGAAAUUAGGAGAUGAGGGUAUUUCUUUUUCUUAUUAGGUAUCAUCGCUUAUAUUUUUGCUUAGGAAGUCAAAUUUUGAAUUUGGUAGUCAAAAUGAUGGAAUAGAUAGCCUGCUUUAACAACUACGUAAGCACUUUUUUAAUACUGUUGCAUGUCAAACUUUGCAAUGAUGGUGACAGCCAGAGCCAGAAAUCAAUAUUACAAAGCAGCACAUUAUGUAAUAACAAUUCACUCUGUUUAGGGAAAUGAAAUGCUUUUAUUGGAGGUGUGAUGCAUCGUUCCCUUGGGUGUAGUUUUUAAAGAAUUCCUAUUCAUUUAUUCAUAGGAAUGGUACUGUGAUGUCUGGAAUGUCUGUCUUUUAUAGUCUGCUCUCACAUGCACAGAGACAUUGACGUUUUUGUAUGAUAAUAUGUUCUUGGGGCCUUCCUGCCAUACCUUGUGUCAUUUAGGUGGUUAUAAGGUGUUGCGGGCUGAAAUUUAGGGACACAACAAGAUGUUUAGUCUUAUGAAUUUGAAAUAUUGUGUUUGCAAGCAAAUUUUUUUCCAUUUAAUUGUAUAAGUUUGAGAUACUUUUUGCAUCUUGCAUAUUAAUGGGGUUGAUGUUCUAUGAAACGUGCAGGUGAUAGAGAAGUGGGUAUUGAU
Molecule: unclassified non-coding RNA, 979 nt
Filed under: Hevea brasiliensis (rubber tree)
Lineage: Eukaryota; Viridiplantae; Streptophyta; Magnoliopsida; Malpighiales; Euphorbiaceae
Source: RNAcentral